UACGGAGGGUGCAAGCGUUAUCCGGAUUCACUGGGGUUAAAGGGUGCGUAGGAGGGCAGGUAAGUCAGUGGUGAAAUCUCCAAGCUUAACUUGGAAACUGCCGUUGAUACUAUCUGUCUUGAAUACCGUGGAGGUGAGCGGAAUAUGUCAUGUAGCGGUGAAAUGCUUAGAUAUGACAUAGAACACCAAUUGCGAAGGCAGCUCACUACACGAAUAUUGACUCUGAGGCACGAAAGCGUGGGGAUCAAACAGG
This 253-nucleotide ribosomal RNA is filed under the name uncultured bacterium. RNAcentral describes it as "partial 16S ribosomal RNA". It matches the Rfam family "Bacterial small subunit ribosomal RNA", at positions 524 to 776 of the family's 1533-position model. The record is from RNAcentral.